GACGAACGCUGGCGGCGUGCUUAACACAUGCAAGUCGAACGGAAAGGCCCUGCUGUUGUGGGGUGCUCGAGUGGCGAACGGGUGAGUCACACGUGAGUAACCUGCCCUUGCCUUUGGGCUAACUUCAGGUAACUGGGGCUCAUACCGGAUAGGAGCUCCUGCUGCAUGGUGGGGGUUGGAAAGUUUCGGCGGUUGGGGAUGGACUCGCGGCUGAUCAGCUUGUUGGUGGGGUAGUGGCUUACCAAGGCUUUGACGGGUAGCCGGCCUGGGAGGGGGACCGGCAACAUUGGGACGGGGAUACGGCCCAGACUCCUACGGGAGGAAGCGGGGGGGAAUAUGGCACAAUGGGCGGAAGCCGGAGGCAGCAACGCCGGGGGCGGGAUGACGGCCUUCGGUUGUUAAACCGCUUUCGCCGGUGACGAAGCGGGAGUGACGGUAAUGGGUGAAGAAGCACCGGCUAACUACGUG
RNAcentral lists this ribosomal RNA (468 nucleotides) under uncultured bacterium. RNAcentral's name for it is "partial 16S ribosomal RNA". It matches the Rfam family "Bacterial small subunit ribosomal RNA", at positions 28 to 507 of the family's 1533-position model. The record is from RNAcentral.